Molecule: long non-coding RNA, 897 nt
Filed under: Notechis scutatus (mainland tiger snake)
Lineage: Eukaryota; Metazoa; Chordata; Lepidosauria; Squamata; Elapidae
Description: lncRNA (ENSNSUG00000000514.1)
Source: RNAcentral
GGAGCUGAGAUUGUCCUCUGCUGUAGUUCUGCAGGCCAACCAAGGGACACAGAUGACGGCCUCCUCAGGACAAGGCAACAACUGGUGCACACUCUGCCUCUGUUGAUACAAAAUGAAGGUGUGACUCAGGGGAGCAAGAGAGGGAGGUCGCUGCAGGAGACCAAGGAGAAAUUAGCAGCCUCCUUUAUUGUGCAGAAGGCACCCCGUUUUGACCGAUCCGAAGCGAAGAUCCCCAUGAAAGACAAAGAUUCGGGAAGAAGCCUAGGCCGCCGGCCCAAGAUCGUCUCAGCAGGCUCACUGAUCCUGAGACACCUGAGGGCAGAGCAGCUGGGGAAUGCUGGUAACCAUCAAGACAAGAAAGGAGGGGGCCUCCUUGAGCACAGCCAGAUGUCCCCAGAAUCUGCUGCAGGGAAUUGCAAGCUGCAGGCGUCUCCAGCAAUGUUUGCUAAGAGAAAAUCUUGUGUGAAAUUUAUGGAAUAUAAGAGCAAUGUGGCAAGGCUGCGCAUGGAGGGCUGCGAUCCCUUUGCUUCCUGCCUACCGAAAGCCGAGUUCAGGUACAGACCGUAUUACGAUCACCUGGCAAGCUGGAAGGAGGCCACCCCGGCUGAGAGGGAUGCUUCAGACUUCAGCAGGGAGGCCUGGCCCGCAGAAGACUCUCAGGAAGCACCCAAGACUUUUGCUCCACUGCAGCCCCCGGGGCCACCUCCCCCCUCCCCCUCCCCCUUGGAGAACAGCCCUAAUUCUCCCCCUGGCUUCCCUUGAAUCCAAAAGGGGCAGGGAGGCCAGAGGGGACUGGGUGGAUAAUCAGCAGCCAACUCCAGGGAGGGUUGCUUCUAUUUUAAAAGGGGUGGGGGCCCACUCUCGAACUUGCAACCAUUAAAAUUCCUGCUUUCCCCA